RNAcentral lists this ribosomal RNA (896 nucleotides) under uncultured Halomonas sp. RNAcentral describes it as "bacterial SSU rRNA". It matches the Rfam family "Bacterial small subunit ribosomal RNA", at positions 12 to 887 of the family's 1533-position model. Lineage: Bacteria; Pseudomonadati; Pseudomonadota; Gammaproteobacteria; Oceanospirillales; Halomonadaceae. The record is from RNAcentral.
UUUGAUCCUGGCUCAGAUUGAACGCUGGCGGCAGGCCUAACACAUGCAAGUCGAGCGGCAGCACGGGAAGCUUGCUUCCUGGUGGCGAGCGGCGGACGGGUGAGUAAUGCAUAGGAAUCUGCCCGGUAGUGGGGGAUAACCUGGGGAAACCCAGGCUAAUACCGCAUACGUCCUACGGGAGAAAGCAGGGGCUCUUCGGACCUUGCGCUAUCGGAUGAGCCUAUGUCGGAUUAGCUGGUUGGUGAGGUAAUGGCUCACCAAGGCGACGAUCCGUAGCUGGUCUGAGAGGAUGAUCAGCCACAUCGGGACUGAGACACGGCCCGAACUCCUACGGGAGGCAGCAGUGGGGAAUAUUGGACAAUGGGCGCAAGCCUGAUCCAGCCAUGCCGCGUGUGUGAAGAAGGCCCUCGGGUUGUAAAGCACUUUCAGUGGGGAAGAAAGCCUGGUGGUUAAUACCCGUCAGGAAGGACAUCACCCACAGAAGAAGCACCGGCUAACUCCGUGCCAGCAGCCGCGGUAAUACGGAGGGUGCGAGCGUUAAUCGGAAUUACUGGGCGUAAAGCGCGCGUAGGUGGCUUGAUAAGCCGGUUGUGAAAGCCCCGGGCUCAACCUGGGAACGGCAUCCGGAACUGUCAGGCUAGAGUGCAGGAGAGGAAAGGUAGAAUUCCCGGUGUAGCGGUGAAAUGCGUAGAGAUCGGGAGGGAAUACCAGUGGCGAAAGGCGGCCUUCUGGGACUGACACUGACACUGAGGUGCGAAAGCGUGGGUAGCAAACAGGAUUAGAUACCCUGGUAGUUCCACCGCCGUAAACGAUGUCGACUAGCCCGUUGGGUCCUUUCGGCGGACUUUGGUGGGCCGCAGGUAACGCGAUAGUCGACCCGCCUGGGGGAAGUUACG